UACGUAGGUGGCGAGCGUUGUCCGGAUUUACUGGGCGUAAAGGGAGCGUAGGCGGGCUUUUAAGUGAGAUGUGAAAUACUCGGGCUCAACUUGAGUGCUGCAUUUCAAACUGGAAGUCUAGAGUACAGGAGAGGAGAAUGGAAUUCCUAGUGUAGCGGUGAAAUGCGUAGAGAUUAGGAAGAACACCAGUGGCGAAGGCGAUUCUCUGGACUGUAACUGACGCUGAGGCUCGAAAGCGUGGGGAGCAAACAGG
This 253-nucleotide ribosomal RNA is filed under the name uncultured bacterium. RNAcentral's name for it is "partial 16S ribosomal RNA". It matches the Rfam family "Bacterial small subunit ribosomal RNA", at positions 524 to 776 of the family's 1533-position model. The record is from RNAcentral.